UACCAAAAACGGAAUCAAGGUUACAGUG
This 28-nucleotide non-coding RNA is filed under the name Mus musculus (house mouse). The record is from RNAcentral. Lineage: Eukaryota; Metazoa; Chordata; Mammalia; Rodentia; Muridae.